RNAcentral lists this long non-coding RNA (316 nucleotides) under Eucalyptus grandis. RNAcentral describes it as "long non-coding RNA (EGRA_LNC007535)". The record is from RNAcentral. Lineage: Eukaryota; Viridiplantae; Streptophyta; Magnoliopsida; Myrtales; Myrtaceae.
GCUGGUUCUUGUCUUCCAAGAAAAGCUUUACAGUCGGCCUGCAGAAUUUGUCCCACCACCGAUCCUCUCGACAGUUAGCUUGUUGCAAAAGAGGUGGUUUGGUCAUUCACACUGCUUAAGAAUUCUAAUGUCAUCAUGCCAUACUAAGAUAGCCACGCUCCAGCAUGUUCAAUAGUCUUGAAUUUUUAGUCUGCUGCUUUUAGAUCUUUUGUGCAUAUGAAUUUGAUACGACGGCGCAGGUAGAUCUAUUCGGGCCUUGGUCAUCUGAAUCGAAGAGGAUCGAAGGUGACCAUGGGUUGACUAUUUUAUUGAGGAU